CCAGAGCCCAAGUGUGUGAAGAUUUGUGCAUUAGAAGGAUAUAGAGGCCAAAGAGUAAAGUUAUUUGGCUGGGUCCACAGGCUGCGUAGACAAGGAAAGAAUUUAAUGUUCCUGGUGUUGCGGGAUGGUACAGGUUUCCUUCAGUGUGUCUUGUCCGAUGCUUUGUGCCAGUGUUACAAUGGAGUAGUCUUAUCUACUGAGAGUAGUGUUGCAGUAUAUGGAACACUAGCUCUUACCCCAAAAGGCAAACAAGCUCCAGGAGGCCAUGAGCUGAACUGUGACUUCUGGGAACUCACAGGGCUGGCUUCUGCCAGAGGAGCUGAUAACCUGAUCAACGAAGAGUCCAAUAUGGAUGUCCAGCUCAACAACAGGCACAUGAUGAUCCGGGGAGAAAACAUGUCCAAAAUCCUGCGAGCAUGCUCUGUGGUGACCAGGUGCUUCCGAGACCACUUCUUUGAUAGGGGGUACUAUGAAGUUACUCCUCCGACAUUAGUGCAAACGCAGGUUGAAGGCGGCUCCACACUCUUCAAGCUGGACUACUUUGGAGAAGAGGCAUUUUUAACUCAGUCCUCUCAGUUGUACCUGGAGACCUGCCUUCCAGCCCUGGGAGAUGUGUUCUGUAUUGCACAAUCAUACAGGGCAGAACAGUCCAGGACACGAAGGCACCUGGCUGAGGACACUCACGUGGAAGCAGAGUGCCCUUUCCUGACCUUUGAGGAUCUCCUGAAGCAGUUGGAGGACUUAGUUUGUGACAUUGUAGAUAGAAUCUUAAAGUCGCCAGCAGGAAGCAUAGUAUUGGAUCUCAACCCGAACUUUAAGCCCCCCAAACGACCUUUCAGACGGAUGAACUACACAGAUGCUAUUGUGUGGUUAAAAGAACAUAAUAUAAAGAAAGAAGAUGGGACUUUCUAUGAAUUUGGAGAGAAUAUCCCAGAAGCUCCUGAGAGACAGAUGACAGACACCAUUAAUGAACCAAUCUUGCUGUGUCAAUUUCCUGUGGAGAUCAAAUCCUUCUAUAUGCAGCGAUGUCCUGAGGAUCCCCUUCUUACUUAAUCAGUCGACGUGUUGAUGCCCAAUGUUGGUGAGAUUGUGGGCGGCUCCAUGUGCAUCUGGGAUAAUGAAGAAAUCCUGGCAGGUUAUAAAAGGGAUGGUAUUGAUCCCACUCCUUACUACUGGUAUACAGAUCAGAGAAAAUAUGGUCCAUGUACUCAUGGAGGAUAUGACUUGGGCCUGGAGCAGUUCCUGACUUGGAUCCUGAAUAGAUACCAUAUCCGAGAUGUGUGCUUGUACCCUCGAUUUGUCCAGCGCUCUGGCCUUGGAACUCACAUAGGAGUUGUUGGGAGAGGCGCAGGAUUAGCAUUGUUCCUCAAAGUGAUACCUAAGGAAGUACAAAUAAAGAUCUGGUCAAACAGGUCUGAGGCAGAGUCCUUGAGGAAAAUCCUAGAGGCUGUGGCUGCAGCUCCCCCCAUCCUUGUGUCCAGAGAUCUGCAGCUAUACAGUGAGUGGAAAAGAAAGAACUAUGGGAAACUCAGCAGGAACCUGAAUGAAGUGAAUAAAGCCCACUGA
RNA transcript from Octodon degus (degu), 1566 nucleotides. It is a transcript of the gene named asparagine--tRNA ligase, cytoplasmic pseudogene, with no coding region annotated. Lineage: Eukaryota; Metazoa; Chordata; Mammalia; Rodentia; Octodontidae. The transcript has 3 exons. The record is from RefSeq and is a predicted model, not a curated record.